Molecule: ribosomal RNA, 300 nt
Filed under: uncultured Pyrobaculum sp.
Lineage: Archaea; Thermoproteati; Thermoproteota; Thermoprotei; Thermoproteales; Thermoproteaceae
Description: bacterial SSU rRNA
Rfam family: Bacterial small subunit ribosomal RNA
Source: RNAcentral
GCUAUCGUGGUGCCAGCGGGCGCGGUAAGAGGUGGGGGGGAAGGGUUGUCCGGAUUUAGUGGGCGUAGAGCGCGGGUAGGUGGCCAGGUAGGGCUGCUGUGAAAACUCGAGGCGCAACCUCGGGCGGUCGGCGGAAACCCCCUGGCUAGAGUCCGGAAGAGGAGAGUGGAAUUCCCGGUGUAGCGGUGAAAUGCGCAGAUAUCGGGAGGAACACCCGUGGCGAAGGCGGCUCUCUGGGACGGUGCUGACGCUGAGACGCGAAAGCGUGGGGAGCGAACAGGAUUAGAUACCCGAGUAGUC